AUUGGCAAUUUGGAGCUGGAAAUGUGGGAACAUGUAAAUAGGUAUAUGUUGAUGAAAGAUGGAAAAGCAAGAUGAAAGUUAUUUUAAGAUAUAGAGUUUCCUUUCUUGAAGAAGAUGUACUCAGUGAAUCGUCGCUUUUGUCACGCCCCAAGCUGGUAAGUCAUGACGAGUGCCCGACCUCUUCUGAUCAAGCACUCCUAAACUCGUAUCUGAACCUUACUAGACAACAUCAUGGCCCAUAUAUGACUUAUAACUUAACUGAACACUUCUUUAAGAAUAACAUAAUAAACUCGGCAUCAAGAACUCAAAACCAACGCAUAUAUAUACAUAUGUGCUGAAGGUAACAGUGCAAGCUGACUAGGCCGCUACAUAUGUUGUAUAACAAAAAUAAGAGUCGACAAGGCUGCAUAACUUCCCAACUACAUGUAACUGUCUACAUACCUCUAUAGAACACAAACUAUAGAAAGGACUUAA
Lycium ferocissimum is the source of this 474-nucleotide long non-coding RNA. RefSeq lists it as uncharacterized. NCBI's taxonomy places the organism in Eukaryota, Viridiplantae, Streptophyta, Magnoliopsida, Solanales, Solanaceae. The transcript has 3 exons. The record is from RefSeq and is a predicted model, not a curated record.